Phalacrocorax carbo (great cormorant) is the source of this 3790-nucleotide non-coding RNA. The record is from RefSeq and is a predicted model, not a curated record. Lineage: Eukaryota; Metazoa; Chordata; Aves; Suliformes; Phalacrocoracidae.
GGGGGUCCCGGGGUGAGAACACGCAGCGGAUGGUGGAGCGAUGCUGCAGGCGGCGCAGGACGGAGGUUGUCCCACCAGUGCUGCAGCCAAGCGUCGUUCUGCACGCUUGUAUCAAGGCAUGGGGUAGUAUCAUGCAUUAAAUGUAUGUGAUGUACAGCAAGGAGAGUUACCCCUUUUCCAUUUGGGAUGGUUCCUGGCACGUGAGGUCUGUCCCGUGAGUGGCAGCUGCGGGGGAAUCCGGUGGUUUUGCAGCCCCGGACCAAGCUGUCUGCUGAGGAUGGAGCAAGUUGGUGCCAUAAAACAGGCUCAAAGCCAAGCCUGGGCGAGCACCCUGCUCCCCAGCAGCCCCACGGGUGAAUCCGCAAGCGGGAGAAUAGUUAAAAGCAAGAGAGAUGCAAGAGCGAUGCAUGAGGGUGUGCGUUACCCGGCAGAAUAAAUGAGGUGGUGGUGUCUGGCAGCGCCUUCGCAGCUUUGCCAACCCUCAUUAGCACCUUUCAGCAAAGCGGAGCUUAUUCAAACUGUAUCACAAGUCUUUUGCUGGAGAUUGCAUCUGUGCCUAAUAUGCAUUUUUAUAUAAACAAGGGUACUAAAUGGCCUUUCAGUUCCCUCUGUAAUGUCUUUUUUAAUGGAAGGUCCUGAAUUAAGAACAUAUAUAUAUGACUCUAAGAAUUUUCUAAGUGAUAUUGAAAACCUAUUGUAAAGUAGGAUUUCUUCUUGCAAAAUUAUUUUAAUGAGGUUCCAGUUUAUUUUCUGGCUAUAUUUUACUUAUUUAAUCCUCCAGAGGGGCUUUUCAGAGGCAGCAUCUCAUUUUCAAUGCAACUAUUCUUAACAUUAGGGAAAACUACCUUUCUGAAAUGCAUGAAGGAAAAAAAAAAAAGAACCAGAGGAAGAUGUACGAGAUAAGAAUAAACUUGAAAAGCUUUGAGGUGGUUUAUGGCUUCUCUUGAAAGAAUAACAGUUCAUGUAUUUUUUGUUAUGGUGUGGUUUAAUGAUGCUUGCAGAAAAAAGAUAAGGUAGAAAUGGAAAUAUAAAAUUAAACCAGCAAAGUGAAUGUGAUUAUUUUAGUUACUAGUAUUACCUGGGGAAAACGCUCUCAGGGUUUUUUAUCUAGACUAAAUAUUUGCUUUUCUAAAACGGAAGGCCCUCUGCAUCUCCCAGCAUGAGGGUGGGAAGUGAAAUAUCCCUGUGGUCCAGCAACUGCAAGAGGACGGUGGUGCCUCUGCCGGCGCCCCGACCACCGGCAGCCCCUGUGGCUGGUUCAUCACCGCCUGACGCAGGUCAUCCCAGCCAGCUCUGAAGUCUCUCCUCUGGCCCUGGGGAGGAGAGCUGGCUUUGGACCAGAUGCUUUUCUGCUAUUUUUAAGGGGAUUGGGACUGUUUUUAAGGAAUCUGGCUGUCUCUGCUCUUUGUUGUCCCUUUCGGUACCCUCCUGCUUCCAGGCACACCCGUCAGCAUCUCUGGCCGAGGACCUGACAGCGCCUGUUCCUCAUCCCGGGGGUGCCCUUUGCACGGGGCUGGUUUUGCCAGGGUUGUGCCUGGUGCCACGAUGAGGAGAUGAUCCCGAGAGGGGCUUCGCAGCCUCUCCGCAGUGUCUGUGCCACUGCGUCACCGUGGGCACCCUGAGCGGUGGAGAGUGCAAGAGGGAGGCAUGGUGGGACCCAGUUCCCAGCGACAGUGUGCGACUGGGGCUUUGUGCCUGUUCUGGAGGACCUUCCUCCCCCAGGAUCUGGGCAUGGCUAAUCCACAGGGUGCUGUGGUCUUGUCCUCUCCUUUAUCAUCCCAUGCCAUGCCACGCCAUGCCAUGCCAUCCCAUCCCUCCUGGCUCAUUCCACCCCACCCAUCCCCAUCUCCAUCCCCAUCCCUGGCUGUGGGUGCAGACCCGAGACCCCCUGUGGCGAUGUGCUCAAAGGCUGUAAUACCACCCCGCUCCAAGAGCUCUUGCCUUCCCUGGGCAGCUCUGCAGGUUUCCAGUCCAAGCCGAGCUGGUGUGGGACCAUGCUGGCUGUGCAGUUUGAUGAGGACUCAACAGGAUCAGCCAAAUCUCAGGACAACCCAGGCGCAGCAGGCACGACCCUGGCUGAGCAGGGCCGCACGGCCCCCGAGCAUCCCGCUGCAGCCGCCAUCGGGUGAGCCCAGCCGCUGGGUCACGAGAGGAAAUGCUCUUGACCAUCUGCUGCUGCUCUAAGAAAUGAGUCUCAGAGAUUGUUUACUACCAGAAAUAUUCAUAUUGUACUACCAAAGCUUUCAUUAGCAGUGUCAGACACAACGGAUGGAGGCCAAGAGCGAUGAUAGGGAUGCGCUGCAGGAUGGGCUCCCAUCCCGAGGUGCUGCUCUUCCCCGGCUCCCAGCACUUGCUUUUGAUGCCAUUAUUCAGCCUCUGCAAGACACUAAAAGAUGUUGCUGCCCUCUUGCUUGAUCCUACACGUUUGGGUUUGGCUUUGUAUGGAGGAGGAAUGUAUUAAAUGUGGUUUCUUCCACCGCAGCCUUGCUCAACAAGUGCAGCAGCCACGGGGCCGGCGGCUGCUGCCUAUCGAUCGGGGCUGGGACGGGGGCCCUGCCUGCCCUUCCCGGCGACUGCGCUGAGUAUCGACGGAUCGAAGUGGCGAGUGGGGCCGAGGCUGGGAAGCAACGGCUGCUGGCAGGGAGCGGGCAGGGGCGUCCCCAGGGCUCGCGCUCCCGCUGGACAGGCAGCCGAGCAUCACCCAAGCGUUCUCCCGGCACGGGGGAUGCGGCUGCCCUGCCUCGCUGCAGGGUUGGGCUGGGGAUGAAGCUGUGCAGAGAAUGUUUGUUAACAUUGAAUUACGUACGGUAUUUGGAAAGACGAACUGAUAAUGUAGAGGAAUAGACUUCAGAAAGGCACUCGUGUCUGGAUGCAGAGUGUCGCAGUGCCCGCAUGCAGGGGGAUGCCUGGAGUGAUGCUAGUACAUGUGUUGUAUAGCUCUAGCAGUUUCUAUAGGAGUGUAUGCAAAUGCUUGCAGCCUCCCAGCGGAGUAACUUCAGAGCAUUUCCUGAAGUAGUUUGGUUUGGUUUUUUUUAGCAAACCCGGUUUCAUUACAAGGGUGUCCAUACUAUCAGCAGUGGGGUAGGAAGAUGGGCAAUAUUAAUGUGGGUCUGCAGGACAGGGACUGCUCAGCAGCUCCUGGAUAAAUAUCAGAGCGCAGAGUAUGACGGAGAGUUUUUCUUGUUCCUGUUGUUCUUCAUUCAUGUACAAACUAUGAAACCAGUGUUUUCUUAUCUGGAGGCCUUCCCAGGCUUCAGUAUUCAAACCCUGGCAAUCACUAAUCGCCUUACUUCCUCUCCUUCAGGGAAACUUUAACUCUUGCCCUCUGCUGCUGAGUAGAUCUUUAAGCUGGGAAUAAUGUGAGACAGAGGGAAAUUAACAGCCUUUUCCUGCUCCUUCCUUGGCUGAAAACCACUAAAGAAUUAAAUAAUUUAAAAGGUAUAAAUUUGCAUUCAAAUUAUUUCCUGCUGAUGAGGAUUUCGUUUUUGAAGGGGUGUGAGGGAAGAUGUACACACCUUGUGCCCUCACCCUUCCCUUUCCAACCUCUCGGAGCCCCCGGCAGCUCCCGGGUUUGUGGGGUUGGCUGUGGGGGACGGGGACCCCAUGGUGCUGGGACGCCUCCGCCUGCCCAAGUCCCAGUAGCUGCCCAGGACAGGAUCUCCGCAGCUGACGGUCGCUCCAGUGGCUUUUCCCCCUUGAACGUCCUAAUCCCCGUCGGUGACACCCAUGGAGGUGAUGAGGAGGGCAGGUGGCCUUCCUCCGCCGGCUGGGGAUGCUGCGGUGGCACGGG